Neofelis nebulosa (Clouded leopard) is the source of this 635-nucleotide long non-coding RNA. RefSeq lists it as uncharacterized. The record is from RefSeq and is a predicted model, not a curated record. The transcript is spliced from 2 exons. Lineage: Eukaryota; Metazoa; Chordata; Mammalia; Carnivora; Felidae.
CAGACGACGGAGCAGGGAUUUUGUCCUGCUCUUCGACACAGAGUCCCAGGAGGCCCCGCGCAGGGCUCUUGUCUCCUCCGGGUCACAGGGUUGUUUUCUGACCUUAGAGCACCGGGGGUUCAGCACUGGACUUACAUCAUUUCCUAGUUUUUAGAAAACCUUUAACCACCCUGCCUCUGGGGCAGGGAGCUCCCGGUGGCAGCCGGCCAAUAGCCGGGCCCACAGCGGGUCUGAUCGCCAUGACGGUGAGGACAGGGACCCCAUCCGUCCAGUACCAGUGCCAGGAGCGUGCUGUUUAGGCCUUUUGACAAUGCAGGGGAGAAAGAACCACCUUCUCCACGUUACAGGCGGAUAAACAGAAGCUUUACAAGGGGAUUUGGAAAUGCACUGGCUGAUACAGGGGCCAGCAGCCACAUGUGGCCUUUGAAAAGUGACUGGCCUGAGGGCACCAGGGUGACUCAGUCAGUCAAACAUCCGACUCUUGAUUGCACCUCAGGUCAUGAGCUCACGGUUCACGAAUUCAAGCCCCGCAUCGGGCUCUGUGCUGACAGCACGGAGCCUGCUUGGGAUUCUCUGUCUCCCUCUGUCCCUCCCCCACCCCUAAAUAAUUAAAAAUAAAAACAUUUUGAAAUGUG